RNAcentral lists this ribosomal RNA (422 nucleotides) under uncultured bacterium. RNAcentral's name for it is "bacterial SSU rRNA". It matches the Rfam family "Bacterial small subunit ribosomal RNA", at positions 361 to 776 of the family's 1533-position model. The record is from RNAcentral.
AUCUUGCGCAAUGGGCGGAAGCCUGACGCAGCAACGCCGCGUGUGGGAAGACGGCUUUCGGGUUGUAAACCACUUUCAGGGGCGACGAAGCUUCCGAGGUUAAUAGCCUACGGGGUGACGGUACCCCCAGAAGAAGCCCCGGCUAACUACGUGCCAGCAGCCGCGGUAAUACGUAGGGGGCGAGCGUUGUCCGGAAUCAUUGGGCGUAAAGCGCGUGUAGGCGGCUUGGUAAGUCUGGUGUGAAACCUUGGGGCUCAACCCUAAGCGUGCACUGGAUACUGCCUGGCUUGAGUCCGGGAGGGGAGAGCGGAAUUCCUAGUGUAGCGGUGAAAUGCGCAGAUAUUAGGAAGAACACCGGUGGCGAAGGCGGCUCUCUGGAACGGUACUGACGCUGAGACGCGAAAGCGUGGGGAGCGAACAGG